Molecule: ribosomal RNA, 253 nt
Filed under: uncultured bacterium
Lineage: Bacteria
Description: partial 16S ribosomal RNA
Rfam family: Bacterial small subunit ribosomal RNA
Source: RNAcentral
UACGGAGGGUGCAAGCGUUAAUCGGAAUUACUGGGCGUAAAGCGCGCGUAGGCGGCUGGAUAAGUCGAUUGUGAAAGCCUUGGGCUCAACCUGAGAAUUGCAGUCGAGACUGUUCGGCUAGAGUGUGGGAGAGGGUGGUGGAAUUCCCGGUGUAGCGGUGAAAUGCGUAGAUAUCGGGAGGAACAUCAGUGGCGAAGGCGGCUAUCUGGCCCGUAAUUGACGCUGAGGCGCGAAAGCGUGGGGAGCAAACAGG